RNAcentral lists this transfer RNA (85 nucleotides) under Salmonella enterica subsp. enterica serovar Braenderup. Its description in RNAcentral is "tRNA-Tyr". It matches the Rfam family "tRNA". Rfam says of the family: Transfer RNA (tRNA) molecules are approximately 80 nucleotides in length. Lineage: Bacteria; Pseudomonadati; Pseudomonadota; Gammaproteobacteria; Enterobacterales; Enterobacteriaceae. The record is from RNAcentral.
GGUGGGGUUCCCGAGCGGCCAAAGGGAGCAGACUGUAAAUCUGCCGUCAUCGACUUCGAAGGUUCGAAUCCUUCCCCCACCCCCC